This 243-nucleotide unclassified non-coding RNA is filed under the name Hevea brasiliensis (rubber tree). Lineage: Eukaryota; Viridiplantae; Streptophyta; Magnoliopsida; Malpighiales; Euphorbiaceae. The record is from RNAcentral.
AUACCGCAAAAAGGACAAAUUUUGUGUUUAAGGGACAUGGAGAUAAGUCAGUGAGAAAACUUCCGCAUUUUCUUCUUGAUAGACUGGGAGAGCAUUCUUUGUUUGAUAUGUGUGAGAUUCUUUUGGAGAGUAGAACUAUAGUUUAAGCCUUAAAGAAAAGAAAAGAGCAGUAGUUUUCCAAAUAUUGAAUCCUUUCUGCUGGAGCUUCGAUGGAUCUUGGAGAAGAAAGGGACAAAGACUCAA